GAGUUUGAUCUUGGCUCAGAUUGAACGCUGGCGGCAUGCCUUACACAUGCAAGUCGAACGGCAGCACGGGAGCUUGCUCCUGGUGGCGAGUGGCGAACGGGUGAGUAAUGCAUCGGAACGUAUCCUGGAGUGGGGGAUAACGUAGCGAAAGUUACGCUAAUACCGCAUAUUCUGUGAGCAGGAAAGCGGGGGACCUUCGGGCCUCGCGCUCUUGGAGCGGCCGAUGUCGGAUUAGCUAGUUGGUGAGGUAAAGGCUCACCAAGGCGACGAUCCGUAGCAGGUCUGAGAGGAUGAUCUGCCACACUGGAACUGAGACACGGUCCAGACUCCUACGGGAGGCAGCGGUGGGGAAUUUUGGACAAUGGGGGCAACCCUGAUCCAGCCAUGCCGCGUGAGUGAAGAAGGCCUCGG
Molecule: ribosomal RNA, 411 nt
Filed under: bacterium enrichment culture clone ALO1_GLFRUDD03FV8UB
Lineage: Bacteria
Description: bacterial SSU rRNA
Rfam family: Bacterial small subunit ribosomal RNA
Source: RNAcentral